RNAcentral lists this ribosomal RNA (253 nucleotides) under uncultured bacterium. RNAcentral describes it as "partial 16S ribosomal RNA". It matches the Rfam family "Bacterial small subunit ribosomal RNA", at positions 524 to 776 of the family's 1533-position model. The record is from RNAcentral. RNAcentral also lists the same sequence under 1 other name.
UACGUAGGUGGCAAGCGUUGUCCGGAAUUAUUGGGCGUAAAGGGUGCGUAGGCGGUUUUUUAAGUGGGAUGUGAAAUACCUAGGCUUAACUUAGGAAUGGCAUUCCAAACUGGAAGACUAGAGUGCAGGAGAGGAAAGUGGAAUUCCCAGUGUAGCGGUGAAAUGCGUAGAGAUUGGGAGGAACACCAGUGGCGAAGGCGACUUUCUGGACUGUAACUGACGCUGAGGCACGAAAGCGUGGGGAGCAAACAGG